GAUGAACGCUGGCGGCGUGCCUAAUACAUGCCAGUCGAGCGAACAGACGAGGAGCUUGCUCCUUUGACGUUAGCGGCGGACGGGUGAGUAACACGUGGGUAACCUACCUAUAAGACUGGGAUAACUUCGGGAAACCGGAGCUAAUACCGGAUAAUAUUUCGAACCGCAUGGUUCGAUAGUGAAAGAUGGCUUUGCUAUCACUUAUAGAUGGACCUGCGCCGUAUUAGCUAGUUGGUAAGGUAACGGCUUACCAAGGCAACGAUACGUAGCCGACCUGAGAGGGGGAAGGGCCACAUGGGAGGGGAGACAGGGUCGAGAGUCUUACGGGAGGAGGCGGAGGGGAAUUGGAGGAAAUGGGGGAAGGCGUGACGGAGCAAGGCGGCGGGGGAGAUGAAGGUGUUGGGUGCGGAAACUCGUGUUAUAGGGGAAGAAGAAACGGGGAAGGAACUGUGCACGUCGUGACGGUAACGAAUCAGAAAGCGACGGCUAACUACGUG
This 497-nucleotide ribosomal RNA is filed under the name uncultured bacterium. RNAcentral describes it as "partial 16S ribosomal RNA". It matches the Rfam family "Bacterial small subunit ribosomal RNA", at positions 28 to 507 of the family's 1533-position model. The record is from RNAcentral.